GGAGUGGAGUCAUCACCAGAGUGAAGCUCCUCCACAAGUGUCCCAAGUGGAAGAGUUGACUAAAGUCCAGGUGGUGACCCGUGACCAGCCCCAGGGACCAGGUGGUGACCCCUGACCAGCUCCAGGGACCAACUGAGGCCGGACCUAAUUACCCUCACAUAAUUAACCAACUUUUUCCACCUGUGAUUGUAAUGUUAAACAAUAAAACUCAAUACAAUACUUUUUUCCUCCCUUGUAGGAAAUAUUUGAUGUGUUGAAGUUAACACUUAGUAAAAUUAAUAUCAGUAUCCUAUAUGCUUUAUUCCAUAUGUUUAUGCAUUGAUUAUUUGCUUAUGAUCCCUGAGAUUAUGACUCUUAGAUAUUUCUCCCGUUAAUACCUCACAUAUUCAAUAUUGUCCAGGUGAUAUAUGGGAACUUUAGUAUUAUUAUUACUAAGCUCAAAUCCCAACAUUUUACAGCAUUAAACUGCAUCCGCUAAUCUUUUGUCUUUUAGCACUUUUGGGAGUUUAACUCCCACAUGGAAGUUAAAUUGACGUGGGAUUUAACUCCAUUCAUGCCAACUCUCUGCUGUCUUUUUUUAAUAACCAAUAACGAAGGUGUAAUCCAACUUAGGAUAAACCCCCAUUACUAUGUACCUCCAGCUCUUUAGGCUUGUGUGGCGCAGUAUCAAAGUCCUUGUUGACGUCAAGUUAAAGAAUGUCACAAUCUUUCCUGCUAUCACCUUAAAAUUUUCAGGAAAAGAAUGAUAGAAAAUCUGCUUUACAAUACAUAAGCACCCUGCAUAAUGUUUUGUCUGGCUCUAGGGGACUAGUUUGCCUUUAGAUUGCAUAUUUGUUUAAUAACUUCCUCGCUAGUAACUACUAAACUAGUCCUCUCGACCUUCAAAGAUUUGUUCUGCUUAAUUCUGCUUAAUGCAUAGUUAAGUUUCUUUAAUAAAUACAGAGACGAAGAAUUAAUUUGAAAAAGGUCAUAUAUCUUUUUCAUUCUCAGUUACCUGACCUGCCUCAGAUUAUUAAUUGGGAAGUCUUUUCUUUAAUCUUUGUUUAAUAUAUCAGGCAAAAACGUUUUAGAAAUUGUCAUUGCUUAGUCUGCUUUACACACUUCCUAAUUUCUUGAUGCUUUCAUUAUUUCUUUAACAUUUCUAACUAGUUUGGGAUUUUGUUGUUCAAGAUUGACUUCCCCAUUUUAGGCCAUUGAUCAAAGUUUUUUCUACUGAUAAGGUUUUUAAUCCCAUGAUUAUCCAUCUAGGGUCAUUGUUGUAUGACCUAACCAAUCUAGAUGGUACACUACACUUUUGACCUUUAUUAAGCAUGUAUGUAAUAAAUUUUUUGAAUAUUA
Procambarus clarkii (red swamp crayfish) is the source of this 1338-nucleotide non-coding RNA. Lineage: Eukaryota; Metazoa; Arthropoda; Malacostraca; Decapoda; Cambaridae. The record is from RefSeq and is a predicted model, not a curated record.